This 461-nucleotide ribosomal RNA is filed under the name uncultured bacterium. RNAcentral describes it as "partial 16S ribosomal RNA". It matches the Rfam family "Bacterial small subunit ribosomal RNA", at positions 28 to 506 of the family's 1533-position model. The record is from RNAcentral.
GACGAACGCUGGCGGCGUGCUUAACACAUGCAAGUCGAGCGGAAAGGCCCUUCGGGGUACUCGAGCGGCGAACGGGUGAGUAACACGUGAGUAACCUGCCCCAGACUUUGGGAUAACCCUCGGAAACGGGGGCUAAUACCGGAUACGACACAGCUUCGCAUGGGGUCUGUGUGGAAAGUUUUUCGGUUUGGGAUGGGCUCGCGGCCUAUCAGCUUGUUGGUGGGGUGAUGGCCUACCAAGGCGACGACGGGUAGCCGGCCUGAGAGGGCGACCGGCCACACUGGGACGGAGACACGGCCCAGACUCCUACGGGAGGCAGCAGUGGGGAAUAUUGCACAAUGGGCGGAAGCCUGAUGCAGCGACGCCGCGUGAGGGAUGACGGCCUUCGGGUUGUAAACCUCUUUCAGCAGGGACGAAGCGUAAGUGACGGUACCUGCAGAAGAAGCGCCGGCCAACUACGU